GACGAACGCUGGCGGCGUGCUUAACACAUGCAAGUCGAACGGAAAGGCCCUGCUUUUGUGGGGUGCUCGAGUGGCGAACGGGUGAGUAACACGUGAGUAACCUGCCCUUGACUUUGGGAUAACUUCAGGAAACUGGGGCUAAUACCGGAUAGGAGCUCCUGCUGCAUGGUGGGGGUUGGAAAGUUUCGGCGGUUGGGGAUGGACUCGCGGCUCAUCAGCUUGUUGGUGGGGUAGUGGCUUACCAAGGCUUUGACGGGUAGCCGGCCUGAGAGGGUGACCGGCCACAUUGGGACUGAGAUACGGCCCAGACUCCUACGGGAGGCAGCAGUGGGGAAUAUUGCACAAUGGGCGGAAGCCUGAUGCAGCAACGCCGCGUGCGGGAUGACGGCCUUCGGGUUGUAAACCGCUUUCGCCUGUGACGAAGCGUGAGUGACGUAAUGUA
Molecule: ribosomal RNA, 442 nt
Filed under: Cutibacterium acnes
Lineage: Bacteria; Bacillati; Actinomycetota; Actinomycetes; Propionibacteriales; Propionibacteriaceae
Description: bacterial SSU rRNA
Rfam family: Bacterial small subunit ribosomal RNA
Source: RNAcentral